Molecule: transfer RNA, 20 nt
Filed under: Salvia involucrata
Lineage: Eukaryota; Viridiplantae; Streptophyta; Magnoliopsida; Lamiales; Lamiaceae
Also listed under: 1 other name
Description: partial tRNA-His
Source: RNAcentral
GGCGGAUGUAGCCAAGUGGU